ACAUCUUCACUCUAACACCUCCCUUAGGCUGAAUAUUAGUAGAACACAAGUUAAAAUCUUCAUCUUGUGUUAACCCAAGACUAAACGAUGGUAGUUCAUCGGAAAUUAAAUUCAUCGAUUGAAUACCUUUAAUGGAACUACUACGAUUUGCAUGUUGUGGCAUUAUAGCGAAACUCCGAAAAAUUUCAACACGCACACAAAAAAAACUAAUAAACAAAAUCGGCAA
RNAcentral lists this long non-coding RNA (226 nucleotides) under Capsicum annuum. RNAcentral describes it as "long non-coding RNA (CANN_LNC022375)". The record is from RNAcentral. Lineage: Eukaryota; Viridiplantae; Streptophyta; Magnoliopsida; Solanales; Solanaceae.